This is a long non-coding RNA of Talpa occidentalis (Iberian mole), 985 nucleotides long. RefSeq lists it as uncharacterized. NCBI's taxonomy places the organism in Eukaryota, Metazoa, Chordata, Mammalia, Eulipotyphla, Talpidae. The record is from RefSeq and is a predicted model, not a curated record. The transcript is spliced from 4 exons.
CCUAAGACAUCCACAUGUCCACUUAGUGCCCCCAGGGGAGCCUCUCUCUAGUACAGUAGUCCUCACUCUUAUUCCUGGACCCCUAAUUUUCUACAUUUCAGGGCUUGGGACUGAACCAGUUGGAAGUGAAAACACCUCCACGGCCAUUUCUAUCAGUCUGGUUAUGUAACCCCUAGUUUUAAAGGCAGGAUGAUUCACCAAACAGCCUGGCUCAGGGAAUCUGGACUGAGAGGCCCUUGGGGAGGGUAAUCCAUCAGAGGAUCCUAAGCUAGGACUGGGGGCCUACCCUGGUAGAUGUGGCCAGAAAUACAAAGGAGAAGGUGUCUGCUGGCAACACUGCACUAGCACAAUAUAGCUCUACCAGGUCUAACGUGCAGCAGCCAUAUCAAGACUGAGCCCCGGGGGUAGACUUCAGGCUCCCUGAUCCCCUCCACACUCCAGCUUUGGGAUCAUCAGCAACCAUACACAUCUAUUGUUUCAGAUGCAGAGCCUCAUAAUACACAUUCCUGCUUCUCAUGAUUGUGGGAAUCAGGACUUCAGGAAGGGCCCAGUGAGGUCUUCUCGUUCACAGUGUCUCUUGAGGGGAAAGAAGCUGACCUGCUGGUGAGUCCUCAUCCAUGUGCUUUGGCCUAUAGAACAUGACUCAAAAGCAGAUCCAUGGGGAGAAACAAAAAUAAUAGGAAGAGAGUAAAGAGAGAGCAGAAAGGUAUACAGACAGAGGUCGGAGGCAUGUUCCAGAAUCUUUUAGGCAGGCAAACAAUGUUUCUUCAUCACUGUGAAGUCUCCAUUCCAGGGAAGAGCACCAACCAGAAAGUUGCAAAAUGUUCUCUGAAAAAGACCACCACCACAAUGAAGUCAGUAGUGUGCUGAAAGAAAAAGAAACGACCUGUCCUAUUCCUAGGUGUCAGCUUAGCAAUAUGCUGGCAGACCAGCCACAGCCCAACAAGGACUGCCUCAGGAGCCUGCUAGCUGGAUGCUGCAAUGC